This 253-nucleotide ribosomal RNA is filed under the name uncultured bacterium. Its description in RNAcentral is "partial 16S ribosomal RNA". It matches the Rfam family "Bacterial small subunit ribosomal RNA", at positions 524 to 776 of the family's 1533-position model. The record is from RNAcentral.
UACGUAGGGGGCAAGCGUUGUCCGGAUUUAUUGGGCGUAAAGAGCGUGUAGGCGGCCAUGUAGGUCCGUUGUGAAAACUCGAGGCUCAACCUCGAGACGCCGAUGGAAACCAUGUGGCUAGAGUCCGGAAGAGGAGAGUGGAAUUCCUGGUGUAGCGGUGGAAUGCGCAGAUAUCGGGAAGAACACCCGUGGCGAAGGCGGUUCUCUGGGACGGUACUGACGCUGAGACGCGAAAGCGUGGGGAGCGAACAGG